Molecule: ribosomal RNA, 537 nt
Filed under: Diaporthe longicolla
Lineage: Eukaryota; Fungi; Ascomycota; Sordariomycetes; Diaporthales; Diaporthaceae
Description: eukaryotic LSU rRNA
Rfam family: Eukaryotic large subunit ribosomal RNA
Source: RNAcentral
CAACAGGGAUUGCCCUAGUAACGGCGAGUGAAGCGGCAACAGCUCAAAUUUGAAAUCUGGCUUCGGCCCGAGUUGUAAUUUGCAGAGGAUGUUUCUGGCGCGGUGCCUUCCGAGUUCCCUGGAACGGGACGCCACAGAGGGUGAGAGCCCCGUAUGGUCGGACACCAAGCCUGUGUGAAACUCCUUCAACGAGUCGAGUAGUUUGGGAAUGCUGCUCUAAAUGGGAGGUAAAUCUCUUCUAAAGCUAAAUACCGGCCAGAGACCGAUAGCGCACAAGUAGAGUGAUCGAAAGAUGAAAAGCACCUUGAAAAGGGGGUUAAAUAGUACGUGAAAUUGUUGAAAGGGAAGCACUUAUGACCAGACUUGGGCCGGGCGGCUCAUCAGGGGUUCUCCCCUGUGCACUCCGCCCGGCACAGGCCAGCAUCGGUUUUCGCGGGGGGAUAAGACCGACGGGAACGUAGCACCCUCCGGGGUGUGUUAUAGCCCGGCGGACGAUACCCUCGCGGGGACCGAGGUCCGCGCUCCGCAAGGAUGCUG